AGCAUCAGUGAAUGAACUUGUCAACAUAAGAACUUACCUGAAGUUCAGAGAUCAAGUGUAAACC
RNAcentral lists this small nucleolar RNA (64 nucleotides) under Cajanus cajan (pigeon pea). RNAcentral describes it as "snoRNA gene-KK1_023342". Lineage: Eukaryota; Viridiplantae; Streptophyta; Magnoliopsida; Fabales; Fabaceae. The record is from RNAcentral.